CAGCCGCCGCGGUAAUACAGAGGGUGCGAGCGUUAAUCGGAUUUACUGGGCGUAAAGCGUGCGUAGGCGGCUUCUUAAGUCGGAUGUGAAAUCCCUGAGCUUAACUUAGGAAUUGCAUUCGAUACUGGGAAGCUAGAGUAUGGUAGAGGGUGGUGGAAUUUCCUGUGUAGCGGUGAAAUGCGUAGAUAUAGGAAGGAACACCAGUGGCGAAGGCGACCACCUGGACUGAUACUGACACUGAGGUGCGAAAGCGUGGGGAGCAAACAGGAUUAGAUACCCCAGUAGUCCCUGUCUCUUAUAU
RNAcentral lists this ribosomal RNA (301 nucleotides) under uncultured bacterium. Its description in RNAcentral is "partial 16S ribosomal RNA". It matches the Rfam family "Bacterial small subunit ribosomal RNA", at positions 509 to 809 of the family's 1533-position model. The record is from RNAcentral.